UGAUCUCAGCCUCUUGCUCCAAUCAGCAACCCUGUCCUAUGAUUCCUAUCACUACACCACGCCCUCCGCCGUUCUUACCCUCCACAACGUUCGAAAACCAAGCUCUCAUCUCAAUCUCUGAAAGCAAGAACCCAGUGUCGUUACCCUCAAAUUCCAUCUCUAUGAACUGAACAACUACACCACAAUCAUCAAUUUCUGAUUGACGAUCCUCGCGUCGAACAUAUCUGAUCGGAUUCAAUCUUCGCAAACCCUAAACUCCUACAAUCCGUUCGGCAGCCCGAUUUCCCGACCAUAUACCUCACAGUACUCUCCUUCAACGCUUACAAAAAACCCAUUUACUUUGUUAGAAUUUCAGUCCUAGAUUACCUUAAGCUUCGUCCACCUCGAGUCAAUUUCUUCUCGGUGCGAGUCGAAAUCAAAUCCCCAAACAGAUGGGCUCCAAAAGAAAAAACCAAAGCAGAGAAUACACUCACAAACAACAAUAUACCUAAGGUCUCCUCACAUUAAUCUGCCAAAUACCACCAAAAUGUCGGGGUGUAUAACUAACAGUUUGAGAUCUUAAAUGACAAGCACCAGUGAAGUAUAUUGAUUUGGAAACGUAACAUUGAAUUUGUUUGCUAUGUAGCUACUGAAUUUGGGUUUGGAAUGAAUAGGAAAUGUAGUUUGUGUGUCUUAAAUGCUAUGUAUAUAUACAAAAAAAAUAUUGAAUAGGUGAGGACAAGUCACUAUCAACAAUUAAUGUUAAGAAGUCAAAGCUUACAAUCAACAAUUAAUGCUCAAUAGUAGGUAUAGGUGUAUGCCAAACUAUUAAUAGAUAUGUGUAUAGAUUGUUGUGUUACUUGUACUGUAUUCAAAAAGUUUAA
Molecule: long non-coding RNA, 863 nt
Organism: Ipomoea triloba (trilobed morning glory)
Lineage: Eukaryota; Viridiplantae; Streptophyta; Magnoliopsida; Solanales; Convolvulaceae
Exons: 4
Source: RefSeq, a predicted model, not a curated record